RNAcentral lists this transfer RNA (63 nucleotides) under Metaphire californica. RNAcentral describes it as "tRNA-Arg". Lineage: Eukaryota; Metazoa; Annelida; Clitellata; Crassiclitellata; Megascolecidae. The record is from RNAcentral.
AAACAAUAGCAUUAAAAUGCACAUCGGUUUCGGCCCGGUGAGAGCGUACCCACGCAUUGUUUU